RNAcentral lists this ribosomal RNA (445 nucleotides) under Labyrinthulomycetes sp. RNAcentral's name for it is "SSU rRNA". It matches the Rfam family "Eukaryotic small subunit ribosomal RNA", at positions 982 to 1449 of the family's 1831-position model. The record is from RNAcentral. Lineage: Eukaryota; Bigyra.
ACCAGACGAUGCGGGAUCGAAGAUGAUUAGAUACCAUCGUAGUCUUAACCAUAAACUAUGCCGACUCGGGAUUGGCAGUCGUUUUUCAAUGACUCUGUCAGCACCGUAUGAGAAAUCAAAGUCUUUGGGUUCCGGGGGGAGUAUGGUCGCAAGGCUGAAACUUAAAGGAAUUGACGGAAGGGCACACCAGGAGUGGAGCCUGCGGCUUAAUUUGACUCGACACGGGGAAACUUACCAGGUCCAGACAAAGUAAGGAUUGACAGAUUGAGAGCUCUUUCUUGAUUCUUUGGGUGGUGGUGCAUGGCCGUUCUUAGUUGGUGGAGUGAUUUGUCUGCUUAAUUGCGUUAACGAACGAGACCUCAGCCUACUAAAUAGUAUGUUGUUUAGUAAUAAAUGAUAUGACUUCUUAGAGGGACAUUUCGGGUUUACCGGAAGGAAGUUCGUG